CCGUGCGUUGAUCUCGCGUGUGUGUGGAACGGACAAAUCUGCUAUCUGCUUGCCGGGAGAUAUGUCUCGCUUUGCCGUAACAGGCAGGAGACCAAAGAAGAAGAACGGGUUUCAGGAGGAUGGAUUCCCACCGAGCACCGACUAUUUGUCGGGAGGGGGUGUGGACCUGACCU
This is a long non-coding RNA of Priapulus caudatus, 173 nucleotides long. RefSeq lists it as uncharacterized. The record is from RefSeq and is a predicted model, not a curated record. NCBI's taxonomy places the organism in Eukaryota, Metazoa, Priapulida, Priapulimorpha, Priapulimorphida, Priapulidae. The transcript is spliced from 3 exons.